Molecule: ribosomal RNA, 253 nt
Filed under: uncultured bacterium
Lineage: Bacteria
Description: partial 16S ribosomal RNA
Rfam family: Bacterial small subunit ribosomal RNA
Source: RNAcentral
UACGUAGGGUGCAAGUGUUGUCCGGAAUUAUUGGGCGUAAAGAGCUCGUAGGCGGUUUGUCGCGUCGGCUGUGAAAACCCGGGGCUCAACCCCGGGCCUGCAGUCGAUACGGGCAAACUAGAGUGCGGUAGGGGAGACUGGAAUUCCUGGUGUAGCGGUGAAAUGCGCAGAUAUCAGGAGGAACACCGGUGGCGAAGGCGGGUCUCUGGGCCGUAACUGACGCUGAGGAGCGAAAGCGUGGGGAGCGAACAGG